CAUGCAUGCCUAGAAGAAAAAUUGGCGCCCUACUGGUGCGCGGGCCCUCCCAGGCCCGUUAGUGCCGACCGGGAUUGUCAAGGAAUCAGCGAACGGCUCCGCAUAUCUGUUGUCACCUAUCGUGGUAAAUACGGCGUGGAUAGAGCACGGAAAAGCUGUGUAUAACACAGAACAGUGGGGUCACCGCUGCCCGUUGGCAUGGGCAGUGGGGAUAAGUGGGCCCAUACGUAUGGGCCCCACCUCAUGAACGGCUCUUAAAGUAGUACAGGGACUAAAGACCCCUGGGCGAAACAGAGGCCUCUGCCUCGGACAUGUCUACCAACUGCCUUGACCGGGGUUGGUCUUGUCUGAGCGCGGCAGAGCCCAUCCACAAGCGCACGAUGGACUUCAGACCUAUCAGCUAGACGGUAGGGUAUUGGCCUACCGUGGCGAUGACGGGUACAGAGGAUUAGGGUUUGAUCCUGGAGAGGUAGCCUGAGAAAUCGCUCCCACUUCUAAGGAAGGCAGCAGGCGCGUAACGUUCCCAAUGCUAGUACCCCUAGUGAGGACGUAAUGGGACAUAACAAUACCCCUUAUUGUUAGUGGGUAAUUGACAAUGGGGCGGGCAUAAAACCCCUGCCGAGAAGCGACUGGAG
RNAcentral lists this ribosomal RNA (635 nucleotides) under Lycogala epidendrum. RNAcentral describes it as "partial nuclear small subunit ribosomal RNA". It matches the Rfam family "Eukaryotic small subunit ribosomal RNA", at positions 50 to 553 of the family's 1831-position model. The record is from RNAcentral. Lineage: Eukaryota; Evosea; Eumycetozoa; Liceales; Enteridiidae.